RNAcentral lists this transfer RNA (96 nucleotides) under Microbacterium trichothecenolyticum. RNAcentral's name for it is "tRNA-Pro". Lineage: Bacteria; Bacillati; Actinomycetota; Actinomycetes; Micrococcales; Microbacteriaceae. The record is from RNAcentral.
GCGGAUGUAGCCGAAGACGAUGGCGACGUCCGCUUGGGCAGCGGUCACGGCGACCGAGGCGAGGUCGGCGCCGUUGUUGUACACGACGCUUCCGCC